Molecule: ribosomal RNA, 600 nt
Filed under: Salmonella enterica subsp. enterica serovar Agona
Lineage: Bacteria; Pseudomonadati; Pseudomonadota; Gammaproteobacteria; Enterobacterales; Enterobacteriaceae
Description: partial 23S ribosomal RNA
Rfam family: Bacterial large subunit ribosomal RNA
Source: RNAcentral
CGAUGCAAACUGCGAAUACCGGAGAAUGUUAUCACGGGAGACACACGGCGGGUGCUAACGUCCGUCGUGAAGAGGGAAACAACCCAGACCGCCAGCUAAGGUCCCAAAGUCAUGGUUAAGUGGGAAACGAUGUGGGAAGGCCCAGACAGCCAGGAUGUUGGCUUAGAAGCAGCCAUCAUUUAAAGAAAGCGUAAUAGCUCACUGGUCGAGUCGGCCUGCGCGGAAGAUGUAACGGGGCUAAACCAUGCACCGAAGCUGCGGCAGCGACACUGUGUGUUGUUGGGUAGGGGAGCGUUCUGUAAGCCUGUGAAGGUGGCCUGUGAGGGUUGCUGGAGGUAUCAGAAGUGCGAAUGCUGACAUAAGUAACGAUAAAGCGGGUGAAAAGCCCGCUCGCCGGAAGACCAAGGGUUCCUGUCCAACGUUAAUCGGGGCAGGGUGAGUCGACCCCUAAGGCGAGGCCGAAAGGCGUAGUCGAUGGGAAACGGGUUAAUAUUCCCGUACUUGGUGUUACUGCGAAGGGGGGACGGAGAAGGCUAUGUUGGCCGGGCGACGGUUGUCCCGGUUUAAGCGUGUAGGUGUGUGUUCCAGGUAAAUCCGGUU